ACAGUAAGUUACUACACAGUGUAGUAUAGUAUAGAUUACUAUACUAUACUACAAUAUAGUGUGGGAUUUACUAUAGUAAUUUUCCAGACAUUGUAGUGUACUAUGGUAAAUACUAUAGUAAGUUACUACACAGUAGUAUACUAUAGAUUACUAUACUAUACUACAAUAUAGUGUGGGAUUUACUAUAGUAAUUUUCCAGACAUUGUAGUGCAAUAUGGUAAAUACUAUAGUAAGUCACUACAAAGUGUAGUACAGUAUAGAUUACUAUAGUUAACUAUAAUAUACUUUUUUUAAUAUAUAUUUUCAUUAUUCUGUAAUUUGUCCUAAAAUGAAUAUGUGAAACAUAAGCCAAAUAUUUGUAUUAUGUGGAGAUUUUAUUGUAGAAACAUAAACCACACAUAAAUAUAAAACAUAAUGCACAACAUGCAUAGGCUACAACAGCCAGAAUAUAAUAACAAUGAAAGAGUACAAUUGAAGCCUUACUAACUUUAAAGAUUUUCUAAUGCAGGCAUCUUGAUAAGAAUAAUUGACUCAUCGUGUACGUAGCAAAAGCAUUUGCACAAAAUAUCAUUAGGUUUGCAAAGAAGUAUUUCAUGGGUCUUUCUGAACUUCACAAUUUGCUUAGCAGUAUUCACAUUAGCAAAAUCAUCAUAGAUUCUUAAUUGUCUGGAAUCCUUUUUGAAUCUAAAAAUGUGUAGGUACACCUCUUCACACUUGCAUGCUGAUAAGCAACCACAAUUGAGCUUACAAAGUAGUAUGGAUUUAAUGCUACCAUGCUCUCCGUUUUUUUAGAGCCACACAAGAAUUAUUGCGUUUAAAAUUUGCUGCAUACAUUUCCGUGGUGUAUAAAGUGUGGUGGAUGAAACAUCUCUUGAAUUCUUUGACACUGGCCUCUAUAUAAUUUCCAAAGAGAAUGGACUCCCCCACUGUAAUUACUCUUGUUGUGUAAUUCCCGACAACCCGAGCACCACUACCUACUUUGUAUGAUUUUAACACUAUAUUGUCUUUGUUAACAAGUUUGUUGAAAAGAUCACAGACAUCAUCACUGGCAUUGUUGAAUAAUUCAGUGUGGUGCAUUAGUGUUUUUGUGUUAAAAAAUCUCUUAAAAAUGUGUUCAGGGACUGCCUGUGUACCAUUGAACAUUUCAAGAAGAGUGCCAAUUGUGUCUUCAUAAACAAAUGAAGAGUUGGCCCACAGCGGACCCCACAUGUCAACUGCGUUGCUAAGAUGGGUUAAGCAGUGAACAUUAUAAGAUACAUAACAUUUUCCAUAAAGCUCUUGUACCUCGACAACAAACCGCGUAAAACAAGAGGAAGCAUGCAAAAGAUCAGCUUUUUGGAUAUGAUCCUGGAGGAGUGUGUAGAUGGAGAAGACAAGUAAUAGCCAGUGAUUAUAAUAACCCGGGGGUAAAACUGUUUUCAAAAGAAUGGGGGAAUAAAAUAAAAUAAAUGCCCUCCAUUCAGAUGCCUUCCAAUAGUGUCAACGCCUGCGUGCUUGCGCAAUAGCAUACUGCCCGAGAAGGCAGUAUCGCUGUCAAAUCUGUCCCUGGGAAAACUAUAUCGUUGCACUAGGGUUGCCGCGGUAUUGAUGAAGAAUGGUCGAUAUUCUGACAACGACGACGACGACGACGUAGUAUCGCUGGUAGGUAACUAAAGUUUUAUUACAGAAAUGUCAUCUAUAGGCCUUGUGGAUGAGUUAAAUUAAAAUCGUUGAAAAACUAAACUUCAUUAUGAUUUAAAGGAUCCUCAGUUAAGUCAAUGUAAGAAGAAGAAGAAGUGAAAAAACACAGGUCUUAACGUCUUAAUGGAACUGGAAAAGCAAGGUAUUGGUGCAGUGAUGUACAAAUAUUCACCGUAUGGAAGUGCUUCUUAACAUCAGUGAAUUAUUGUAAUGUGAUGUAGCCUAAUGUUGUCUGUCAUAUUGUACACCAUGGGGUCGCCAACUGGCCUGCUUUGCCUGGCCUGUCAGAUCAUUUUGACUUUUUGCUUUCUGUCAACUUAUUAAGCAUAUUAACAAGAUUAGAUUUGAGUAUUCAUCUCCUGUUCCGCCUGCAUUGUCUACUCGCUCAGGCUCAUCCCCCCUGCUGACCUCUGUUGUACAGUCUUGAUGUAACCCUUAACUCUAUGUACAUCUUCUGUUUGUCAUAGGAUCAGGUCAGCUGAACUCAAUUAAUGAAACCAGGAAUGAAUGCCAUCACCCAUCUUGUGAGCUGUUGAGGGAGAACAACCACAGGCUGCAGAGGGAAAAUGAUUCUCUCAAGGCAAAAAUAGCAACAUUGAAAUCUAAUGCUAUUGUUGAAAACUUUGUUUUUUUUUACACAAGGGUUUUUCUGUUUUACAUGUUAGCUAAAAGGCCAUUAUGAAUCCUUUGCUUAGUGCUGCCAGACGUUUUGCAGGAGAUGGAGGAGUUUCUCCGCUCAGCACCAAGACCAACGACAACACCAAUACCAACACCAACACCAAGACCAAGACCAGAACCAACACUAUCACCAGCACCAACAGCAGUUCCAGCACCAGCAACAGAAGACCCAUCACCAGCUCCAGGUCCAUCAUCAGCAUCAGCAACAGAGGCCCUGGGCCACUCUGUCAUUCCAAAAGGACCUGUGGAGCGCUGCUCCUUCCAAAGCCCCCAGAAGUUCAUAAAUGAUCUCCUACAUGGGAUGUAUACCAGGGAAUAUAUGGCAGGCCAUUCAGUGACUGGCCAGUCAUCCAGCAGCUGCACAGAAGGAAAACCUGGCCUAGCUAAACAGGACCUUGUUGAAAUAACAAAUGCUGCAAAGUUGAAGUUCACCUACGUAACUGAUACGAACAUAAAAGCAUUUAUACGACAAAAGCUGAACAAUGCUGCCAAAUUUCAGAAACAAUAAAUUAUCAACUGUUUAAAGAAAGUUAAACUUUUGUUAUAUAUUUUU
Molecule: long non-coding RNA, 2911 nt
Organism: Gadus macrocephalus (Pacific cod)
Lineage: Eukaryota; Metazoa; Chordata; Actinopteri; Gadiformes; Gadidae
Exons: 4
Source: RefSeq, a predicted model, not a curated record